This 558-nucleotide ribosomal RNA is filed under the name Halomonas huangheensis. RNAcentral's name for it is "bacterial SSU rRNA". It matches the Rfam family "Bacterial small subunit ribosomal RNA", at positions 48 to 598 of the family's 1533-position model. Lineage: Bacteria; Pseudomonadati; Pseudomonadota; Gammaproteobacteria; Oceanospirillales; Halomonadaceae. The record is from RNAcentral.
GCUACACAUGCAAGUCGAGCGGAACGAUGGAAGCUUGCUUCCAGGCGUCGAGCGGCGGACGGGUGAGUAAUGCAUAGGAAUCUGCCCGAUAGUGGGGGAUAACCUGGGGAAACUCAGGCUAAUACCGCAUACGUCCUACGGGAGAAAGCAGGGGAUCUUCGGACCUUGCGCUAUCGGAUGAGCCUAUGUCGGAUUAGCUAGUUGGUGGGGUAAUGGCCUACCAAGGCGACGAUCCGUAGCUGGUCUGAGAGGAUGAUCAGCCACAUCGGGACUGAGACACGGCCCGAACUCCUACGGGAGGCAGCAGUGGGGAAUAUUGGACAAUGGGCGAAAGCCUGAUCCAGCCAUGCCGCGUGUGUGAAGAAGGCUUUCGGGUUGUAAAGCACUUUCAGUGAGGAAGAACGCUUCCGGAUUAAUACUCCGGAAGAAAGACAUCACUCACAGAAGAAGCACCGGCUAACUCCGUGCCAGCAGCCGCGGUAAUACGGAGGGUGCGAGCGUUAAUCGGAAUUACUGGGCGUAAAGCGCGCGUAGGUGGCUUGAUAAGCCGGUUGUGAA